AUUGAACGCUGGCGGCAGUGCCUUACACAUGCAAGUCGAACGGCAGCACGGGAGCAAUCCUGGUGGCGAGUGGCGAACGGGUGAGUAAUACAUCGGAACGUGCCCAGUAGUGGGGGAUAACCCGGCGAAAGCCGGACUAAUACCGCAUACGACCUACGGGUGAAAGCGGGGGAUCGCAAGACCUCGCGCUAUCGGAGCGGCCGAUGUCAGAUUAGCUAGUUGGUGGGGAAAGGCCUACCAAGGCGACGAUCUGUAGCUGGUCUGAGAGGACGACCAGCCACACUGGGACUGAGACACGGCCCAGACUCCUACGGGAGGCAGCAGUGGGGAAUUUUGGACAAUGGGCGCAAGCCUGAUCCAGCCAUGCCGCGUGCGGGAAGAAGGCCU
RNAcentral lists this ribosomal RNA (387 nucleotides) under uncultured bacterium. RNAcentral describes it as "bacterial SSU rRNA". It matches the Rfam family "Bacterial small subunit ribosomal RNA", at positions 29 to 417 of the family's 1533-position model. The record is from RNAcentral.